CGUUGGAACCGUUUGCACUAAGUUUAGUCCAAGUCAUCCAAGUCUUCAAUUCCCAUCGACAAUGAAUAGGUAAGUUAGAUAUCUAUCUCUAUAUAAGAAGGUAGCAUUUGUAGUUAGAAACAUAAUUAGGAAUUUAAAGAGAAUCAAAAGAGAAAUGAGAGCCUCAAAGAGCUUGUUUAAGACUGGUAGUUUUUUACUAGUCAUGAUAUUUUUAGGUCUUGUUUCGAAUGCCUUAGCAAGACCAUAUCUCACGCACGCCUCACCUCUAACACCCAACAACUUACUUCCAUCACCAUAUGGAAGAAACCAUAAAUCACUUCCUUUUCACUUCAAUACACCAUCUCAUGGUUAUAAUCGCCCCUUGCGAAAAUCGCCGCGGCUGCACAAGAAAUCUCUUUCGACACCACAAUUUGUAGGGAGGCCAUUACCGAAGAAAUACACGCCUCCUGAGCAAAUUUAUCAUAUACCUCCAAUUCCCCUUACCUAAGAGAUUCAAAGGAAAUGGAAAGGAAGCCUUCAAUCAAUUAAUAAUGCAAGAGUUUUCUAAUAAACAUGAUGAAGGGACAAGUCUCCACAUAUGGCUAUAGUUUUAUGCUAGUGCACUGUAUGCAAUAUAAAAAAAUUAUGCAUGAGAGAGAAAUAAACUAAGGAAAAAUACAAUUGGAUAUUUAAUUUAUAUUUUAAUUAAUACUUUCGUGUCUCUAUUUUUGAGAAAUUACUAUGGCAUCCCUAAUUUUAAUUAAAUUUAUUAUUAGGUCUUUUCAUCCAAAAGUGAGUAUAUACUCUCCAAAAAAUAUGUUUAGUUAACAGUAAAGUCCUACUUUUUGGAUGAAAGGAUCAAAUAAUGAGUUUAAGCAAAUGUUGAUGACUGUAUGGUAAUUUCUUGAAAAUAAAGGGAUGAAUUUGAUAAUUAGGAUAUAAAUUAGGGACUCAAGUAUUUUUCCAUAAAUUAAAAAAGAAUAGAAUAAUGGUAUUAGUGUUGGAUGGUGUUAUUCUGUUUCGUUUUUAAGAUAUACAUGGAAUGAUAAGUAAAAGUUUUCUUUGAUUCC
Long non-coding RNA from Jatropha curcas, 1049 nucleotides. RefSeq lists it as uncharacterized. Lineage: Eukaryota; Viridiplantae; Streptophyta; Magnoliopsida; Malpighiales; Euphorbiaceae. The record is from RefSeq and is a predicted model, not a curated record.